This is a non-coding RNA of Microcebus murinus (gray mouse lemur), 833 nucleotides long. NCBI's taxonomy places the organism in Eukaryota, Metazoa, Chordata, Mammalia, Primates, Cheirogaleidae. The record is from RefSeq and is a predicted model, not a curated record.
CAGAGGGUUUUGAGGCUCAAGUAAGGAACAGAUGUAAAAGCAUUCAUUAGGUCUGAAGUGCCAAAUAGAUGUGAAAUGAUAGCCGAACAGAAAAAUCUUCAUCUGUGCUUCUCUGAAGACCCAGGAUGGAAGGUAGUGAACCAUGAGAUUGUCAGUGGGCGGCGCUGUUUGGCUGUAAAAUGAGACGAUGUUGUAACAGCCUAACAGAACAGGUGUGACCAUUUAGCCUUUUCAAACCUUGAGGAAGCAUCUCGAGGAUCCACAAGAAGUUUUACUAAUUGGUAAAGGUAUGGAAGUCCUAGAGGAUAUGCUUCUAAACUAAUCAGAGUUGUGUGGAAAACUAUUGUUUUCUUAUGUGCCAGGUAAGUCCUUUAUUAUUUCAUAUAAGGGAGAUAGAGACUAAUGGUUAAAAAUGACUUUUUGAGGAUGGGCAAUUGAAGCCCUUCAGCUUUCCUUCCUUGAGGUCUUGAGGACCAAGAACAGGGAAAGUAGGGCCAAGGUCUCAAACAACUACAGGAAACUGGGGAUCAGAAAAGUAGGGGAAAGUUUGAAGAGGGGCAAGUACAUAUAAGUAGGGCCAGUCCAUAGUGGAGAGGGAGACAGGAAGAAGUUUGGAGGAGCAGACAGAUAAGGAGAGGAAAAGGAGACCGGAGUGAGUGUCUUUGAGGUUGGAGUGGAUGAGAGGUCGGAGUAGUUGAGGAGGACAAGUGGUCCUUGAGAAAUCGAAUAGCUUCAGAUAAAGUAGAUUGUGAUUACUUAGUGGCCUGAUUAAGGUUAGAUUGAGAAAACCAUUUUUCAGCUUCUUCACAACAAGAGAAGUAAGCAGGCCAUUG